Molecule: long non-coding RNA, 200 nt
Filed under: Musa acuminata (dwarf banana)
Lineage: Eukaryota; Viridiplantae; Streptophyta; Magnoliopsida; Zingiberales; Musaceae
Description: long non-coding RNA (MACU_LNC008595)
Source: RNAcentral
AAGAAGUAAUGAAAGUUAUCUCCAUGUUAUGUUUUCCUUGAGAUGUUUGUAUAAUUGGUAUCCUAUCACUCAUUGUUGAAAAAUGACAUAAACCUAGUUAAAAUUUACUUAUAUCGUUCUCCUUUUUGUUGAUAACAAAUGGGGAGAAAUAUAUGAAUUGAUACUAUGAGUGCCAUAUUUGAUGAGAAAUAUAUGAAUUG